GUAUUCAAUUUAUUUUUGGUUUUCCAAAAAAAAAAUAAUGAUGUUUUCAGGCUUGCUUCAAGAAAAAGCAAGAAAAGUUCGUCAAGGUGAAAGAAAAAACUCUGGCAGUGCCGGAAGGACAAGGGGGGGAAACAAGAAAGAAGAAGCUUCCUUUCUCGCCCUCCUCUUUUCCCUCCACGGAGAAACGGUAAAGAAUCUCCCUGCACAAACUGCCAAAGCAAACAUGUCGAUGAUGUGCACACGAAGGUGGAUAUGGAUUUAAACCAUCCAUAUGCAAAGUAAAAUGGACAAUUGUUAAUGAUCCUUCCGCAGGUUCACCUACGGAAA
RNAcentral lists this unclassified non-coding RNA (327 nucleotides) under uncultured fungus. RNAcentral's name for it is "sequence contains ITS1". The record is from RNAcentral. Lineage: Eukaryota; Fungi.